Molecule: ribosomal RNA, 535 nt
Filed under: Serpula himantioides
Lineage: Eukaryota; Fungi; Basidiomycota; Agaricomycetes; Boletales; Serpulaceae
Description: partial small subunit ribosomal RNA
Rfam family: Bacterial small subunit ribosomal RNA
Source: RNAcentral
UAGUCAAUGCUCGCAAGAGUGAACUAGCUAACUGAAAUCAUAUAUGUGUCAUAUGUGAUAAAAUAAGGGAAAAUAAUGAUAUUACCUUAUUAUUAGUGUUGUCCAAAACUGGUGCCAGAAGACUCGGUAAGGCCAGAGACGCAAACGUUAGUCGUCCUAAUCAGGCGUAAAGGGUUUGUAGGCUGCUUUAAAAGUUUUAUUUUUAAUAUAGCUAAAAUAAAGAUAAGAUCAAUUAAAGCUAGAAUCAAAUAGAGGGUAAACCAAAUAAUACUUAGAGUAGGGCCGAUAUCCAUAAAUACUAAGUGGAAUACUAAAGGUGAAAGCUUUUUAUCUACUAAUGAUUGACGCUGAGAAACGAAGGUGAGGAAAGGAAACAGGAUUAGAUACCCACAUACCCCUCUCUGUCAACGAUGAAUGGUGGCUUGCUAAUUGAAUAAAACAUUAAAAAGUUUAAUGUCAUUAUAAUAAAAAAUUGGUAGCGAUGUUAACACGAUAACCAUUCCGCCUUGUGAGUACGACUGCAAAGUUGAAAACA